CGGAGACAAUAGUUGGAAACGACUGCUAAGCCCCGAUAAACCGAAAGGGAAAAUAUUUAUAGCCUGAAGAUGGGGAUGCGUUCCAUUAGGCAGUUGGCGGGGUAACGGCCCACCAAACCGACGAUGGAUAGGGGUUCUGAGAGGAAGGUCCCCCACAUUGGAACUGAGACACGGUCCAAACUCCUACGGGAGGCAGCAGUGGUCGACGCGGCCG
Molecule: ribosomal RNA, 214 nt
Filed under: uncultured bacterium
Lineage: Bacteria
Description: partial 16S ribosomal RNA
Rfam family: Bacterial small subunit ribosomal RNA
Source: RNAcentral